CUAGAAGAAUGCCUGAAUUGUUUGGAAUUCGCUUCGGUGCUGUUUUCAUUACAGGUGUGAUAUUGGCUACAAUUUUUUUGCAUCUGGACAACUCUCCAAGAGGUGCCCAAGAAAGAUUGGGCUUUUUCGCUUUUGCCAUGUCCACAACUUACUAUACAUGUGCGGAAUCCAUCCCUGCCUUUCUCCAGGAACGUUACAUUUUCAUGAGAGAAACUGCCUACAAUGCUUAUCGCCGUUCUUCCUACGUUCUUGCUCACUCCCUAAUUUCCAUUCCUUCUCUAAUUAUACUCUCUAUUGCCUUCGCAGCUACGACCUACUGGACAGUAGGGCUUGCGGGUGGAGCUUCUGGGUUCUUUUUCUUCUUCUUCACAAUCUUAUCUGCAUUCUGGGCAGGAAGUUCAUUCGUUACAUUCCUCUCCAGGCAUCGUCUCUCACGUAAUGCUAGGUUUCACAAUUGUUGUUGCCAUUUUGGCUUACUUCCUUCUCUUCAGUGGAUUCUUCAUUUCUCGGGAUCGAAUUCCUCCCUACUGGAUAUGGUUUCACUAUCUCUCUCUGGUGAAAUAUCCAUAUGAAGGAGCUCUACAAAAUGAGUUCCAGGAUCCCACAAAAUGCUUUGUAAGGGGCGUGCAAAUGUUUGAUAACACACCGCUGAGCGCUGUGCCUGUGGCGCUGAAACUCAAAUUGUUGCAGAGCCUGAGCAACACCUUGGGCAGGAACGUAACAGGCAGCACUUGUAUAGUCACUGGACCAGAUAUACUAAGGGGACAAGGUAUUACAGAUAUAAGCAAAUGGAGUUGUUUAUGGAUCACCAUUGCUUGGGGAUUUUUCUUUAGGGUCUUGUUUUACUUUACUUUGUUGUUGGGAAGCAAGAACAAGAGGAGGUGA
RNAcentral lists this unclassified non-coding RNA (885 nucleotides) under Hevea brasiliensis (rubber tree). Lineage: Eukaryota; Viridiplantae; Streptophyta; Magnoliopsida; Malpighiales; Euphorbiaceae. The record is from RNAcentral.